RNAcentral lists this ribosomal RNA (575 nucleotides) under Streptomyces coelicoflavus. RNAcentral's name for it is "partial 16S ribosomal RNA". It matches the Rfam family "Bacterial small subunit ribosomal RNA", at positions 173 to 762 of the family's 1533-position model. The record is from RNAcentral. Lineage: Bacteria; Bacillati; Actinomycetota; Actinomycetes; Kitasatosporales; Streptomycetaceae.
GACCUGCCAAGGCAUCUUGGCGGGUCGAAAGCUCCGGCGGUGAGGGGAUGACCCCGCGGCCUAUCAGCUUGUUGGUGAGGAAAGGGCUCCCCAAGGCGACGACGGGUACCCGGCCUGAGGGGGCGCCGGCCCACACGGGGACUGAGACACGGCCCAGACCCCUAGGGGGGGCAGCAGGGGGAAAUUUUGCAAAAGGGGCAAAACGCCUGAUGCAGCGACGCCGCGUGGGGGAUGGCGGCCUUGGUGUUAAACACCUUUUUCAGCAGGGAAGAAGAGAAAGUGACGGUACCUGCAGAAGAAGCGCCGGCUAACUACGUGCCAGCAGCCGCGGUAAUACGUAGGGCACAAGCGUUCUCCGUGAAUUAUUGGGCAAAAAGAGCUCGUAGGCGGCUUGUCGCGGCUGUUGAAAAACCCCGGGUCAUCCCCGGGGGUCUGCAGUCCCUGGGGGGAGGCUAGUGUGCGGGGGGGGAGAUCGGUACUCCUGGUGUAGCGGAAGAAAUGCGCAGAUAUCAGGAGGAACACGGGUGACGAAGGGGGAUCGGUCGGCCGAUACUGACGCUGAGGAAAGAAAGCGU